GGCCCGUUAGCUCAGUUGAGAGAGCGUCGUGCUUGCAGUGCGAAGGUCGUGGGUUCGAUCCCCACACGGGCUA
Trichoplusia ni (cabbage looper) is the source of this 73-nucleotide non-coding RNA. The record is from the annotation of a RefSeq genome assembly. Lineage: Eukaryota; Metazoa; Arthropoda; Insecta; Lepidoptera; Noctuidae.